CCCGCGCCGCUUUUCCCCGGGCCCGAGGCCAGUUUAGCACGGCUGCCCUGCGCUCCGCUCUCCUCGGACUCGGGACGAGACGCUGCGAGGGAGCAGCGCCGCCGCCGUGCAAAGCCCCGGGUCUUUGCAGAGCGGCGCGCCCGGCUGCGGCGGGGCUGACGCGGCAGCGUGCGCUUCGCCCUCGCCCCGUCGCUGCCGAAAGCGGCGCGGCGGGCUUCUUUCCCGCCGCGGCUUCCCCGGGGCUUGCCGGCGCCGCGCGCGCCGCCCUUCCUCCGCCAGCGCCUCCGCCCUCCAACCGGGAUGCGAAGCCCGCGACAUCAAGCAACGCCUCCGAAAGAAGCCUCCUCGGCGCGCUUUUAUGCUGGUAUGCCCGGACAUCGGUGCCAGCAUCCAUGUGGUGCUUCCCGCACUCCAACUGUCAACAGCUUCCCUCCUCCCUCGGAAAAACUGGCAUUGCAAGAAAGAACCACCAUUGUGUGCCUGAUAGAAGGAUUCUUCGCUGAGGGCAUCCGUGCCACAUGGCUCCGCAAUAACGAAACCAUGGCAACAUCAGAAAACUCCAUCAGACCAGAGGGGUUCUUCUUAUAUAGCAAACUGCUCUUCAGUUCUCAAAACUUCAUGGGGAGAGAUACUUUAACUUGUAAGGUGGAGAAAAAUAUGCUUCCUUCCUUGACGUCAUGGAAGGCCACGGACAAGGACACUGGCAAGCCCUCAGCCUCCAACAAGUCCCUCUUCAGGUCCCGUUUCCAGGAGGCUGAAGAAGACUCAAGUGUGAUUCUUGGCUGCAUAGUGGAAGGGCCCUAUCCUGACAGCCUCUCCAUCACGUGGCACGAGAAUGGCAGACCCCUGACUGGAGACAACAGUGACAUUCACAACAGCGACGAGCCGGACGUUUUUCUCAACAGCAGCCUGGAAAUCGAUUUUGAUGAGUGGAAUUCAGCAAAGGAUUUUACAUGCACCAUCAGUCAGCAGGAGCUCGAAAUUCUGCACACCCGGAAGAGCAGUGAGAAAACUCAUGGUGAAGAAUGAAGACCAGUCCCUAUCCCAACAUCAUGGCCUUUUCCCCCGGCACAGAAUUGUCCCUGCAGCAGUCGGAUCAAGGCCUCUGGACGCCUUGUCUGUACACCUCAUUCUGGUUAAAUAAAAGACCUAUGCUUCACUCCCUGAUAUUCUUGGCUCUGGCCCCAAUUCUGUCUGUCAUUUGUGGCUGGUGGGCAGACAGUCUCUUAAAUGGAGGCAAGAGACAGUUCAUGUAUCAGACACAAGAGGGCUGGAUGCUACCACCUUGGUUUCUCUUAUGUGAUAUAUUCUCAACCUCUUCCCCAUCCCCCAAACAUUCCUAUGGUAUAAAAUACAAGAUAUUAGGAGGUCUGUCAUAAUGCAUCGCAUCACUUCUUCCCUAGCCCCCCUCUGAUUUGCUGUAGUUCUGCAAAGAUAUCUCAUAUUUGACUUUAUAAGGAGAUCAGACAUGUUAAUGGAUACACAAUCCAGUGGGGUGUCAGAGUGUCAGUAUUCUUGUCAGAGCUCUAGCCAGAGUCACGCCAUUUUAACAUGUUAUAAUCUGUAGUUGUUUAGCUUUCCUCCCUCCAGGCCCAGGUGGUGUCCAGGUCGCAUAUAUCCAUGGGAGAGAAGAAUCCUUAUCAGCCCGUUCCGGCCAACGACCUUGACGUCCUCGUCUUCCCAUGCCUUCGCAGACAGGACUACGGGGGAGGCUGGGAAUGGGUGUUUGACGUGUUGUUACUUUCACUUUAUGAGUCAUUCUCAACAAAGCUUCUGUUCAGCCAAGAGCCUCUUGCCCUUGGAUUGUGGACACCUGUAUCCUGAGCAUACUCUUCCAAUAAACCUUUGA
Eublepharis macularius is the source of this 1849-nucleotide non-coding RNA. The record is from the annotation of a RefSeq genome assembly. Lineage: Eukaryota; Metazoa; Chordata; Lepidosauria; Squamata; Eublepharidae.